This 449-nucleotide ribosomal RNA is filed under the name uncultured organism. RNAcentral describes it as "partial 16S ribosomal RNA". It matches the Rfam family "Bacterial small subunit ribosomal RNA", at positions 333 to 798 of the family's 1533-position model. The record is from RNAcentral.
ACACUCCUACGGGAGGCAGCAGUGGGGAAUAUUGGACAAUGGGCGCAAGCCUGAUCCAGCCAUGCCGCGUGAGUGAUGAAGGCCCUAGGGUUGUAAAGCUCUUUCACCGGUGAAGAUAAUGACGGUAACCGGAGAAGAAGCCCCGGCUAACUUCGUGCCAGCAGCCGCGGUAAUACGAAGGGGGCUAGCGUUGUUCGGAUUUACUGGGCGUAAAGCGCACGUAGGCGGACUAUUAAGUCAGGGGUGAAAUCCCGGGGCUCAACCCCGGAACUGCCUUUGAUACUGGUAGUCUUGAGUUCGAGAGAGGUGAGUGGAAUUCCGAGUGUAGAGGUGAAAUUCGUAGAUAUUCGGAGGAACACCAGUGGCGAAGGCGGCGCACUGGCUCGAUACUGACGCUGAGGUGCGAAAGCGUGGGGAGCAAACAGGAUUAGAUACCCGGGUAGUCCCAU